GACGAACGCUGGCGGCGUGCUUAACACAUGCAAGUCGAGCGGGAAACUUCGGUUUCCAGCGGCGGACGGGUGAGUAACACGUGGGCAACCUGCCUCACAAUGAGGGAUAGCCCUCCGAAAGGAGGAUUAAUACCUCAUACCACAAGAGAAACGCAAGAUUCUCUUGCCAAAGAAUUACGUUGUGAGAUGGGCCCGCGGCGCAUUAGCUUGUUGGUGAGGUAACGGCUCACCAAGGCUUCGAUGCGUAGCCGACCUGAGAGGGUGAUCGGCCACAUUGGAACUGAGACACGGUCCAGACUCCUACGGGAGGCAGCAGUGGGGAAUAUUGCACAAUGGAGGAAACUCUGAUGCAGCAACGCCGCGUGAGUGAUGAAGGUCUUCGGAUUGUAAAGCUCUGUCUUCUGGGACGAUAAUGACGGUACCAGAGGAGGAAGCCACGGCUAACUACGUGCCAGCCGCCGCCGUAA
RNAcentral lists this ribosomal RNA (467 nucleotides) under uncultured bacterium. RNAcentral describes it as "partial 16S ribosomal RNA". It matches the Rfam family "Bacterial small subunit ribosomal RNA", at positions 28 to 523 of the family's 1533-position model. The record is from RNAcentral.